GGAGGAUGCGAGCGUUAUCCGGAUUUAUUGGGUUUAAAGGGUGCGUAGGUGGUGAUUUAAGUCAGCGGUGAAAGUUUGUGGCUCAACCAUAAAAUUGCCGUUGAAACUGGGUUACUUGAGUGUGUUUGAGGUAGGCGGAAUGCGUGGUGUAGCGGUGAAAUGCAUAGAUAUCACGCAGAACUCCGAUUGCGAAGGCAGCUUACUAAACCAUAACUGACACUGAAGCACGAAAGCGUGGGGAUCAAACAGGAUUAGAUACCCUGGUAGUCCACGCAGUAAACGAUGAUUACUAGGAGUUUGCGAUACAAUGUAAGCUCUACAGCGAAAGCGUUAAGUAAUCCACCUGGGGAGU
RNAcentral lists this ribosomal RNA (352 nucleotides) under uncultured bacterium. RNAcentral describes it as "bacterial SSU rRNA". It matches the Rfam family "Bacterial small subunit ribosomal RNA", at positions 527 to 881 of the family's 1533-position model. The record is from RNAcentral.